GAGAGGAGAGGAGAGGAGAGGAGAGGAGAGGAGAGGAGAAGAACUCGUGAGUCGCAAGAUAAUUAUAAUUUUGUAAAUCCUCCCAGAAUGUGAUCAUCUUAAAUGCUCUAGGUCACAAGAUAAUGUCAAAAUGGAACCAGGCCAGGUAGCACCAGUGAAGCUAAUAAUGUCAAUAAUGUGGAUAGAGAUUACAGUACAGUGUAGACUUUGACAAACUAACUGCAUCUGACAUAGUUCACAACCCACAGCUUCUCUUUGAGACUCAAUCACUAACUCUCCCUCCCUCAGCCUCCCUACUGCUCUCUCUCCUAUCUCCCUCGCUUGCUCCCUCUCUCUCUCUCCACUCCCACCAAUGGCUGGGUCCUGUAGGCCACAGCUGUCCUCUGCCCUCUGUCAGCCUCACAGCUGGCUUUACCCACAAUCCUCAGCUGGACUGUAUCAAAGAGUCUUGUUUCCUCCUGCACUUGCAUCUUGUGUAUUUAAUUUGUCUUAUAGAUCCCCAUUAUCUGCUCAUGCAGCUACUCUUCCUGGGUUCCCGCAAAAUGAAGGGGGCCAGAGAUGUAGAGGGCUACAUCCCAGAAAACCUCUGGUAUGAGUUCCACACAGUGAGCUAAGGCUGUUGUUGUAAGGGGCCAGAUGGUAACCAUGCCAAUACCUCUCCACUACAUCAACUUCCUUUAUGAAGAAUCUUCUAGGGCUGAUCGUUGCCCUGAGCGACAAUGGAACUUCGCGACGUUCCCUGUUCUGGGAUGAUGUGGAAGGGAUCGGCGAGUAGAUACAUCACACGAAUACAUCACACUGACCUGCCAUAUGCUGUUCAAUGGUCUCCUGGUGGAUGAGAGGCUGACCCUGGGUGUGGCGUGAGGAGCUGAUGCCACUGCCUUAUCAGUCUACGUGGACCAGGGCUUCAUGCUCAUGUGGAAGAUCAACAUCUAAUCAGAUUCACAUAAACAGAGCACUGCCAGAGAAUGUGUUAUUUUAAUUACCACAAUUCACAAUUUUCUGUUUGAAUGUCUCAUAUAAUUGUCAGUUAUGUGUAACAUAAAUCAAAU
Molecule: long non-coding RNA, 1052 nt
Organism: Oncorhynchus gorbuscha (pink salmon)
Lineage: Eukaryota; Metazoa; Chordata; Actinopteri; Salmoniformes; Salmonidae
Exons: 6
Source: RefSeq, a predicted model, not a curated record